Molecule: ribosomal RNA, 404 nt
Filed under: uncultured bacterium
Lineage: Bacteria
Description: partial 16S ribosomal RNA
Rfam family: Bacterial small subunit ribosomal RNA
Source: RNAcentral
AUUGAACGCUGGCGGCAGGCCUAACACAUGCAAGUCGAGCGAGCGGCGGACGGGUGAGUGAUGCCUGGGAAUUGCCCAGUCGAGGGGGAUAACAGUUGGAAACGACUGCUAAUACCGCAUACGAUUGGAUUGGCCAGGUGUGAUUAGCUAGGUGGUGAGGUAAUGGCUCACCAAGGCGACGGUCCCUAGCUGGUCUGAGAGGAUGAUCAGCCACACUGGAACUGAGACACGGUCCAGACUCCUCCGGGAGGCAGCAGUGGGGAAUAUUGGAAAAUGGGGGAAACCCGGAUGCAGCAAUGCGGCGUGUGUGAAGAGGGCUUUCGGGUUGUAAAGCACUUUCAGCGAGGAGGCGUUACUCGCAGAAGAAGCACCGGCUAACUCCGUGCCAGCAGCCGCGGUAAUUC